Molecule: long non-coding RNA, 818 nt
Organism: Teleopsis dalmanni
Lineage: Eukaryota; Metazoa; Arthropoda; Insecta; Diptera; Diopsidae
Exons: 4
Source: RefSeq, a predicted model, not a curated record
UGUUUAGCUAUCACUAAAUAUGGAAUCACUGGAAAAUUAUAAAGUUCUUAAUUCCGUUUUUCUGGCCGGUUUUAUCAUAUUGUGGAUUCAUUGGAUAUGGACGCGAAGAAACAUAUAUAAAUACGGUUUAAGUUUCCCGGUAUUAUAUGGUUUUCCUGUAAUUGGUUCCUUAUACGGAAUGCGGAGCUUGGACAAUUUAACAUCAAGACUUAAUUAUAUUUUUAAAUAUUGUAAAAGUUAUACUGUUUGUUUGUGGAUUGGAUGGUUUCCAAUCAUACUGACUGCAGAUGCGGAGAUUAUUACAAAUGUUUUGGGGUCUCCAGAGCUUCUUAACAAAUCCGAAAGUAUUUAUCAUUCUAUUCGAUGUUCCUUUAAAGGCGGUCUUGUUGCUAGUAGAGGUACUACUAUUGUAAAGUAUUUUAAAAUGUUAAAAGUUAUUUUUUUCCAAAGUUGAUAAAUGGUCGAAGAAUCGCAAACUGAUAAAUCCUGCCUUUGCAAAUAAAGUGCUUCUGAGUUUCUUUCCAAUUUUUAAUAAAGCUAAGAAUAAUAUAAUUGAAAAGUGUAGCGAACUGGUAGACAAUAAGGAACAUAAUUUACUGAAUGCUAUACAAACAAUGACUUUAACAUUAACUGCAGAAACAACUAUGGGCAAGUACAUGCACAAAGGUAACCAGAUUUCGAAUGAUGUGGCCAAACAUUAUUGUGUCAUACUGGAAUAUACAAUAAUUCAUACGAUACUUUCGUUUAUGAAACUCGGUUUCAUAAUGGAGUUGUUUUCGAAAUUUAGAAACGCUAAGAAAUUUUCAUACCAGUUCGUC